RNAcentral lists this transfer RNA (73 nucleotides) under Candidatus Moraniibacteriota bacterium. RNAcentral's name for it is "tRNA-Arg". It matches the Rfam family "tRNA". From Rfam's summary of the family: Transfer RNA (tRNA) molecules are approximately 80 nucleotides in length. Their secondary structure includes four short double-helical elements and three loops (D, anti-codon, and T loops). Lineage: Bacteria; Candidatus Moraniibacteriota. The record is from RNAcentral.
GCGCUCGUAGCUCAGUGGAUAGAGCAUCUGGCUUCGAACCAGAGGGCCGGGGGUUCGAUCCCCUCCGAGCGCA